CCUACGGGAGGCAGCAGUGGGGAAUAUUGGACAAUGGGCGAAAGCCUGAUCCAGCCAUGCCGCGUGUGUGAAGAAGGCCUUUUGGUUGUAAAGCACUUUAAGCGAGGAGGAGGCUACUUGGAUUAAUACUCUGGGAUAGUGGACGUUACUCGCAGAAUAAGCACCGGCUAACUCUGUGCCAGCAGCCGCGGUAAU
This 195-nucleotide ribosomal RNA is filed under the name uncultured bacterium. Its description in RNAcentral is "partial 16S ribosomal RNA". It matches the Rfam family "Bacterial small subunit ribosomal RNA", at positions 338 to 524 of the family's 1533-position model. The record is from RNAcentral.